Molecule: ribosomal RNA, 456 nt
Filed under: uncultured bacterium
Lineage: Bacteria
Description: partial 16S ribosomal RNA
Rfam family: Bacterial small subunit ribosomal RNA
Source: RNAcentral
AACGAACGCUGGCGGCAGGCUUAACACAUGCAAGUCGAGCGCCCCGCAAGGGGAGCGGCCGACGGGUGAGUAACGCGUGGGAACGUACCUUUUGGUUCGGAACAACUCCGGGAAACUGGAGCUAAUACCGGAUAAGCCCUAACGGGGAAAGAUUUAUCGCCGAAAGAUCGGCCCGCGUCUGAUUAGCUAGUUGGUGAGGUAACGGCUCACCAAGGCGACGAUCAGUAGCUGGUCUGAGAGGAUGAUCAGCCACACUGGGACUGAGACACGGCCCAGACUCUGAGGUGGGGCAGCAGUGGGGAACAUGGCACACUGGGCGCAUGUCUGAUGCAGUGAUGCGCCGUGGAUGAAGAAGGCCCGUGGGUGGUAAAGGAAUUUGAGAGGGGAGGAAGGGAGUAAAGUUAAUACCGUGGCUCAGUGACCUUACGGGCAGAAGAAGCACCGGCUCACUUCGUG